GAUGAACGCUAGCGGCAGGCUUAACACAUGCAAGUCGAGGGGUAUUGGUUUUCGGACCAAGAGACCGGCGCACGGGUGCGUAACGCGUAUGCAAUCUACCUUUUGCAGAGGGAUAGCCCCAGAGAAAUUUGGAUUAAUACCUCAUAGUAUGUGAGGAUGGCAUCAUUUUCACAUUAAAGUCACAACGGCAAAAGAUGAGCAUGCGUCCCAUUAGCUAGUUGGUAAGGUAACGGCUUACCAAGGCUACGAUGGGUAGGGGUCCUGAGAGGGAGAUCCCCCACACUGGUACUGAGACACGGACCAGACUCCUACGGGAGGCAGCAGUGAGGAAUAUUGGACAAUGGGCGCAAGCCUGAUCCAGCCAUGCCGCGUGCAGGAAGAAGCAUCUAUGGUGUGUAAACUGCUUUUGUACGGAANAAACACUCCUACGUGUAGGAGCUUGACGGUACCGUAAGAAUAAGG
RNAcentral lists this ribosomal RNA (462 nucleotides) under uncultured bacterium. RNAcentral's name for it is "bacterial SSU rRNA". It matches the Rfam family "Bacterial small subunit ribosomal RNA", at positions 28 to 491 of the family's 1533-position model. The record is from RNAcentral.